Molecule: non-coding RNA, 84 nt
Organism: Deltaproteobacteria bacterium
Lineage: Bacteria; Pseudomonadati; Myxococcota; Myxococcia
Source: Rfam
GAGGGUCGGCCCCUCGAAGUCGGCGUCCAGGCGCAGACUUCAAACCACCGCAAGAGCAGAAAAGGUACCGGGAGUCUUUUCUGG